AGAGUUUGAUCAUGGCUCAGAUUGAACGCUGGCGGCAGGCCUAACACAUGCAAGUCGAACGGUAACAGAAAGCAGCUUGCUGCUUUGCUGACGAGUGGCGGACGGGUGAGUAAUGUCUGGGAAACUGCCUGAUGGAGGGGGAUAACUACUGGAAACGGUGGCUAAUACCGCAUAACGUCGCAAGACCAAAGAGGGGGGACCUUCGGGCCUCUUGCCAUCAGAUGUGCCCAGAUGGGAUUAGCUUGUUGGUGAGGUAACGGCUCACCAAGGCGACGAUCCCUAGCUGGUCUGAGAGGAUGACCAGCCACACUGGAACUGAGACACGGUCCAGACUCCUACGGGAGGGCAGCAGUGGGGAAUAUUGCACAAUGGGCGCAAGCCUGAUGCAGCCAUGCCGCGUGUAUGAAGAAGGCCUUCGGGUUGUAAAGUACUUUCAGCGGGGAGGAAGGUGUUGUGGUUAAUAACCGCAGCAAUUGACGUUACCCGCAGAAGAAGCACCGGCUAACUCCGUGCCAGCAGCCGCGGUAAUACGGAGGGUGCAAGCGUUAAUCGGAAUUACUGGGCGUAAAGCGCACGCAGGCGGUCUGUCAAGUCGGAUGUGAAAUCCCGGGCUCAACCUGGGAACUGCAUUCGAAACUGGCAGGCUUGAGUCUUGUAGAGGGGGGUAGAAUUCCAGGUGUAGCGGUGAAAUGCGUAGAGAUCUGGAGGAAUACCGGUGGCGAAGGCGGCCCCCUGGACAAAGACUGACGCUCAGGUGCGAAAGCGUGGGGAGCAAACAGGAUUAGAUACCCUGGUAGUCCACGCCGUAAACGAUGUCUACUUGGAGGCUGUGCCCUUGAGGCGUGGCUUCCGGAGCUAACGCGUUAAGUAGACCGCCUGGGGAGUACGGCCGCAAGGUUAAAACUCAAAUGAAUUGACGGGGGCCCGCACAAGCGGUGGAGCAUGUGGUUUAAUUCGAUGCAACGCGAAGAACCUUUACCUGGUCUUGACAUCCACGGAAGUUUUCAGAGAUGAGAAUGUGCCUUCGGGAGCCGUGAGACAGGUGCUGCAUGGCUGUCGUCAGCUCGUGUUGUGAAAUGUUGGGUUAAGUCCCGCAACGAGCGCAACCCUUAUCCUUUGUUGCCAGCGGUUAGGCCGGGAACUCAAAGGAGACUGCCAGUGAUAAACUGGAGGAAGGUGGGGAUGACGUCAAGUCAUCAUGGCCCUUACGACCAGGGCUACACACGUGCUACAAUGGCGCAUACAAAGAGAAGCGACCUCGCGAGAGCAAGCGGACCUCAUAAAGUGCGUCGUAGUCCGGAUUGGAGUCUGCAACUCGACUCCAUGAAGUCGGAAUCGCUAGUAAUCGUGGAUCAGAAUGCCACGGUGAAUACGUUCCCGGGCCUUGUACACACCGCCCGUCACACCAUGGGAGUGGGUUGCAAAAGAAGUAGGUAGCUUAACCUUCGGGAGGGCGCUUACCACUUUGUGAUUCAUGACUGGGGUGAAGUCGUAACAAGGUAACCGUAGGGGAACCUGCGGUUGGAUCACCU
Molecule: ribosomal RNA, 1532 nt
Filed under: Salmonella enterica subsp. arizonae
Lineage: Bacteria; Pseudomonadati; Pseudomonadota; Gammaproteobacteria; Enterobacterales; Enterobacteriaceae
Description: bacterial SSU rRNA
Rfam family: Bacterial small subunit ribosomal RNA
Source: RNAcentral